This is a non-coding RNA of Phalacrocorax carbo (great cormorant), 432 nucleotides long. The record is from RefSeq and is a predicted model, not a curated record. NCBI's taxonomy places the organism in Eukaryota, Metazoa, Chordata, Aves, Suliformes, Phalacrocoracidae.
GACCUUGGGAGAUGACUGUCGUAAAAAAUACUCGUCAGUCACUGAACACGGUGGCUGCCUGCGCUGCUUCUUCCCUGGUCCCAGGAAUCACAACAGCAAAAUGAGGUCACAUUUCUUUGGAAUUGGUUCCAACAUGAUGGGUGCCAGGACACUGAAGGGACAUGGAGCGCGGAGUCAGCUGUGGAGUGCUUUCUUCAUGACCAGGGCAGCAAACAUGAUAUGUCCCAGGAGCUCUCCUGGCAUGGGCUCACACAGACCUGGACCUGGCCUUACACCUCCCUCAGCUCUGGGUGGGACACUGUCCGGGCCAAGGACAAAUGUUACUGGAAAUCAUGUCACUGUCGACAUCUCAGACUGAAAACCAGCAUGGUUGUGGAAUGAGCUGGUCAGGCGCUCUCCAGAUCUCUCUGCUAAAUGUAAUCAUGGACUGCU